This 253-nucleotide ribosomal RNA is filed under the name uncultured bacterium. RNAcentral's name for it is "partial 16S ribosomal RNA". It matches the Rfam family "Bacterial small subunit ribosomal RNA", at positions 524 to 776 of the family's 1533-position model. The record is from RNAcentral.
UACAGAGGAUGCAAGCGUUAUCCGGAAUGAUUGGGCGUAAAGCGUCUGUAGGUGGCUUUUUAAGUCCGCCGUCAAAUCCCAGGGCUCAACUCUGGACAGGCGGUGGAAACUACCAAGCUGGAGUACGGUAGGGGCAGAGGGAAUUUCCGGUGGAGCGGUGAAAUGCGUAGAGAUCGGAAAGAACACCAACGGCGAAAGCAGCUCUCUGGGACGGUACUGACGCUGAGACGCGAAAGCGUGGGGAGCGAACAGG